CCUACGGGAGGCAGCAGUAGGGAAUCUUCCACAAUGGGCGAAAGCCUGAUGGAGCAACGCCGCGUGGGUGAAGAAGGUCUUCGGAUCGUAAAACCCUGUUGUUAGAGAAGAAAGUGCGUGAGAGUAACUGUUCACGUUUCGACGGUAUCUAACCAGAAAGCCACGGCUAACUACGUGCCAGCAGCCGCGGUAAUACGUAGGUGGCAAGCGUUAUCCGGAUUUAUUGGGCGUAAGGGGAACGCAGGCGGUCUUUUAAGUCUGAUGUGAAAGCCUUCGGCUUAACCGGAGUAGUGCAUUGGAAACUGGGAGACUUGAGUGCAGAAGAGGAGAGUGGAACUCCAUGUGUAGCGGUGAAAUGCGUAGAUAUAUGGAAGAACACCAGUGGCGAAAGCGGCUCUCUGAUCUGUAACUGACGCUGAGGUUCGAAAGCGUGGGUAGCAAACAGGAUUAGAUACCCUUGUAGUC
This 465-nucleotide ribosomal RNA is filed under the name uncultured bacterium. RNAcentral's name for it is "partial 16S ribosomal RNA". It matches the Rfam family "Bacterial small subunit ribosomal RNA", at positions 338 to 795 of the family's 1533-position model. The record is from RNAcentral.